CAAUAAAAUAGAGGUGCGAUCAUCACAAACACUGUUGAGCCGGUAUUGGCGCAGAAACAGUCUUAAGGGUCUUCGCCGAAACGCGGAUCGUAAUACUGCGAUCUGUUGUUGGGACAUGCGGAAAUACUGCAUGGACUGUCCUGACCAAGUCAGGGAGUGCUAUCAAUUGG
This 170-nucleotide non-coding RNA is filed under the name Oenococcus alcoholitolerans. Its description in RNAcentral is "Lysine sequence". It matches the Rfam family "Lysine riboswitch aptamer". From Rfam's summary of the family: Riboswitches are metabolite binding domains within certain messenger RNAs that serve as precision sensors for their corresponding targets. Allosteric rearrangement of mRNA structure is mediated by ligand binding, and this results in modulation of gene expression. Lineage: Bacteria; Bacillati; Bacillota; Bacilli; Lactobacillales; Lactobacillaceae. The record is from RNAcentral.